Molecule: ribosomal RNA, 600 nt
Filed under: uncultured bacterium
Lineage: Bacteria
Description: bacterial SSU rRNA
Rfam family: Bacterial small subunit ribosomal RNA
Source: RNAcentral
CUUACUGACGCUAAAGCUCGAAGGUGCGGGUAUCGAACAGGAUUAGAUACCCUGGUAGUCCGCACGGUAAACGAUGGAUGCCCGCUGUUGGCGAUAUAAUGUCAGCGGCCAAGCGAAAGCGUUAAGCAUCCCACCUGGGGAGUACGCCGGCAACGGUGAAACUCAAAGGAAUUGACGGGGGCCCGCACAAGCGGAGGAACAUGUGGUUUAAUUCGAUGAUACGCGAGGAACCUUACCCGGGCUUGAACUGCCAGCGGACGAUACAGAGAUGUUGAGGCCCUUCGGGGCGCUGGUGGAGGUGCUGCAUGGUUGUCGUCAGCUCGUGCCGUGAGGUGUCGGCUUAAGUGCCAUAACGAGCGCAACCCCUUUCGUCAGUUGCCAUCAGGUAAUGCUGGGCACUCUGGCGACACUGCCACCGUAAGGUGUGAGGAAGGUGGGGAUGACGUCAAAUCAGCACGGCCCUUACGUCCGGGGCUACACACGUGUUACAAUGGGAGGUACAGAGAGCCGGCCGCCUGCAAAUGCGGUCCAAUCAAGAAAGCCUUCCUCAGUUCGGAUUGGGGUCUGCAACCCGACCCCAUGAAGCUGGAUUCGCUAGUA